UUCUAUUUAAUUCUUUCUGAGAUACUGAAGGCAGCCCACAUUUGAUUCUCCUUCAGGCGCUUCUUGAGACAUCAGUAUAACGCUCAACUCAACAGACGCACACAGCAGAUCCAAGAGGAGCUGGAGGCAGACAGGCGGAUCCUGCAGGCCCUCCUCGAGAAGGAGGACGAGAGCCAGCGCCUCCACCUGGCCAGGCGGGAGCAGGUCAUGGCCGAUGCGGCCUGGAUGAAGCAGGCCAUUGAGGAGCAGCUGCAGCUGGAGCGGGCACGGGAGGCAGAGCUGCAGAUGCUGCUGAGGGAGGAGGCCAAGGAGAUGUGGGAAAAGAGAGAGGCAGAGUGGGCCCGAGAGCGCAGCGCACGGGACAGACUGAUGAGCGAGGUUCUGACAGGGAGACAACAGCAAAUACAAGAGAAGAUUGAGCAGAACCGACGGGCACAAGAGGAAUCCCUGAAACACAGGGAGCAA
This 465-nucleotide small RNA is filed under the name Pongo abelii (Sumatran orangutan). RNAcentral describes it as "retained intron". The record is from RNAcentral. Lineage: Eukaryota; Metazoa; Chordata; Mammalia; Primates; Hominidae.